RNAcentral lists this transfer RNA (78 nucleotides) under Acidobacteriota bacterium. RNAcentral's name for it is "Acidobacteria bacterium tRNA-Pro". Lineage: Bacteria; Pseudomonadati; Acidobacteriota. The record is from RNAcentral.
AGGUGUGAGCCAGCAGGUGGGAUAUGAGCCUGCCUUGGGCGCAGGGGGUCGCUGGUUCGAAUCCAGUCGCCCCGACCA